This 253-nucleotide ribosomal RNA is filed under the name uncultured bacterium. Its description in RNAcentral is "partial 16S ribosomal RNA". It matches the Rfam family "Bacterial small subunit ribosomal RNA", at positions 524 to 776 of the family's 1533-position model. The record is from RNAcentral.
UACGGAGGGUGCAAACGUUGCUCGGAAUCAUUGGGCGUAAAGCGCACGUAGGUGGCGUGUUAAGUCGGGUGUGAAAUCCCUGGGCUCAACCCAGGAAGUGCACUCGAAAUUGGCACGCUUGAGUACUGAAGAGGGUCGCGGAAUUCCCGGUGUAGAGGUGAAAUUCGUAGAUAUCGGGAGGAACACCAGUGGCGAAGGCGGCGACCUGGGCAGAUACUGACACUGAGGUGCGAAAGCGUGGGGAGCAAACAGG